AUACCGCGUGAGGGAGGAAGGUUCUUGGAUUGUAAACCUCUUUUCUCAGGGAAGAAAAAAAUGACGGUACCUGAGGAAUAAGCAUCGGCUAACUCCGUGCCAGCAGCCGCGGUAAUACGGAGGAUGCAAGCGUUAUCCGGAAUCAUUGGGCGUAAAGCGUCCGUAGGUGGCGAAGCAAGUCUGCUGUCAAAGAAUGGAGCUUAACUCCAUAAAGGCGGUGGAAACUGCGUCGCUAGAGUACGGUAGGGGUAGCGGGAAUUCCCAGUGUAGCGGUGAAAUGCGUAGAUAUUGGGAAGAACAUCGGUGGCGAAAGCGCGCUACUGGGCCUGUACUGACACUGAGGGACGAAAGCUAGGGGAGCAAAAGGGAUUAGAUACCCCUGUAGUC
RNAcentral lists this ribosomal RNA (387 nucleotides) under Merismopedia glauca SI-SG. RNAcentral describes it as "bacterial SSU rRNA". It matches the Rfam family "Bacterial small subunit ribosomal RNA", at positions 394 to 795 of the family's 1533-position model. Lineage: Bacteria; Bacillati; Cyanobacteriota; Cyanophyceae; Synechococcales; Merismopediaceae. The record is from RNAcentral.